This 258-nucleotide ribosomal RNA is filed under the name uncultured Piloderma. Its description in RNAcentral is "partial 28S ribosomal RNA". It matches the Rfam family "Eukaryotic large subunit ribosomal RNA", at positions 1 to 249 of the family's 3401-position model. The record is from RNAcentral. Lineage: Eukaryota; Fungi; Basidiomycota; Agaricomycetes; Atheliales; Atheliaceae.
UUGACCUCAAAUCAGGUAGGACUACCCGCUGAACUUAAGCAUAUCAAUAAGCGGAGGAAAAGAAACUAACAAGGAUUCCCCUAGUAACUGCGAGUGAAGCGGGAAAAGCUCAAAUUUAAAAUCUGGCGGUCUUGCGGCCGUCCGAGUUGUAAUCUGGAGAAGCGUCUAUCCGCGUCGGACCGUGUACAAGUCUUCUGGAAGGGAGCGUCAUAGAGGGUGAGAAUCCCGUCUUUGACACGGACUACCGAUGCUUUUGUG